GAUGAACGCUGGCGGCGUGCCUAAUACAUGCAAGUCGAGCGAACAGACGAGGAGCUUGCACCUCUGACGUUAGCGGCGGACGGGUGAGUAACACGUGGAUAACCUACCUAUAAGACUGGGAUAACUUCGGGAAACCGGAGCUAAUACCGGAUAAUAUAUUGAACCGCAUGGUUCAAUAGUGAAAGACGGUUUUGCUGUCACUUAUAGAUGGAUCCGCGCCGCAUUAGCUAGUUGGUAAGGUAACGGCUUACCAAGGCAACGAUGCGUAGCCGACCUGAGAGGGUGAUCGGCCACACUGGAACUGAGACACGGUCCAGACUCCUACGGGAGGCAGCAGUAGGGAAUCUUCCGCAAUGGGCGAAAGCCUGACGGAGCAACGCCGCGUGAGUGAUGAAGGUCUUCGGAUCGUAAAACUCUGUUAUUAGGGAAGAACAAAUGUGUAAGUAACUAUGCACGUCUUGACGGUACCUAAUCAGAAAGCCACGGCUAACUACGUG
This 497-nucleotide ribosomal RNA is filed under the name uncultured bacterium. RNAcentral describes it as "partial 16S ribosomal RNA". It matches the Rfam family "Bacterial small subunit ribosomal RNA", at positions 28 to 507 of the family's 1533-position model. The record is from RNAcentral.